AUAUUGCACAAUGGGCGCAAGCCUGAUGCAGCGACGCCGCGUGGGGGAUGACGGCCUUCGGGUUGUAAACCUCUUUCAGUAUCGGCGAAGCUCCAGGAUUCUUCUUGGGGUGACGGUAGGUACAGAAGAAGCACCGGCCAACUACGUGCCAGCAGCCGCGGUAAUACGUAGGGUGCGAGCGUUGUCCGGAAUUACUGGGCGUAAAGAGCUCGUAGGUGGUUUGUCACGUUGUCCGUGAAAACUCACAGCUUAACUGUGGGCGUGCGGGCGAUACGGGCAGACUGGAGUACUGUAGGGGAGACUGGAAUUCCUGGUGUAGCGGUGGAAUGCGCAGAUAUCAGGAGGAACACCGGUGGCGAAGGCGGGUCUCUGGGCAGUAACUGACGCUGAGGAGCGAAAGCGUGGGGAGCGAACAGG
Molecule: ribosomal RNA, 417 nt
Filed under: uncultured bacterium
Lineage: Bacteria
Description: bacterial SSU rRNA
Rfam family: Bacterial small subunit ribosomal RNA
Source: RNAcentral